GUUUAUUUAGUCGUGACGUCUAAAACAAUACCUUCGUCCCAUUGGACGUUUUUGAGGUGACGUCUUCAACAGUGAUGCGCGCGCAUCUUGGCAACGGAAGUGGAGUGUUACUUUUGCGGAUAACUUCCUUGACCGAAGCUAACGGUAAAUGCAGCUGUUUUAACGCAAAAAUGUCGACUUGUUGCGUGUUUGCUUGUAAAUACCGACGCACCCCAGGCAGCAACAUCAAAUUAUACAGAAUACCGGCUGGUUCUCGGCCGUAUCACGCCAACAGGAGGCGGUUAUGGCUAGAAGCAAUACAACGAGCGAACGGCAGCACGGAGCCAAUCAAAGACACCGCUCGUGUUUGUAGUGCUCAUUUCAUUUCAGGAGAGGUCUCUAUGGACUAUGGCAUGCCCGACUUUGUGCCUUCAGUAUUUUCAUACACUGAACCGUGCCCGCCCCCCAAGAAAAGAGUGAAAAGGUUUUACGGUCGUAGACAAAGGCUCCACCGUGCAGCCAAAAUGAGACCAGAGGAAAAAACUACUCCUCCUGAAGUCGAUUCUCCUGAGGACCUCCAAUCCUCUGUUUUGAUGGAAACUGAAAGUGAACUUUCAAUGGAAACGCAGAUUCUGUCAACCCCAUCAGUGCCAAAGGCACACAAGUGAAGUCAUUUGUUAACACUACUAGUUGUUUAUUCAUGAGGAAGAAGAAACAUCGACUAUAGAGGCUGAGAAUGACACCAAAACCAUCCAAUUGCAAACAUCCAACACAAACAUGCCGUCGCCAUCCUGUAAAGUACCAGCAGACAUCGCAAAACUAGUCACGAGGAGUCCCAUUGUGCUUCUAAAGCCCAUAGUUUCACUAGCAGGUGGCUUUCAGUGUGAACAGUGUAAUCUCACCUUCCCCGAUGCAUCACAGCUUGUAAAUCACAAACAGCAGCAUGAAGAACAGAAGUCGUUAAUCUGUGAAGUUGGUGCGAAGUGCCUCACAAGUGAGGCAGAUCUCACCGAGCACCAUGCUGUCCAUGAGGAAGAGCCUUACUUUUCAUGUAACAUUUGUGAUCGAUCUUUUCCUUCAAAUCAGAGUCUCAAGCGUCACAAGCUGCUCCAUGUUAAAGAUGGCAGGAAGUGCCUCACUUGUGGUGCACUGUUUUGUCGCCAUCCCAGACACUUUUCAUUCCUGCCAAAGAUCGAGUGUAAGACAGGGUCUGAGGAGGAGUCUUCCGUCAUUGAGCCACAACAUGUAGGAAGUGACUUGAUCCCAGAAAGCGGUCUGCCAAAUAAGCUAGAGCCAAGCCAGACGACUGAGGAGUCUGUGCCUGAUGAUGCUCAGAGCUCACAGACAUUUACGCUUCUACUGACUUCUUCUACCUCAAUUCUUGCAGCUACACCUCCAAUCCCUGAAUUUUCACCUGCUGCUACACCUCCAAUGCCUGAAUUUUCACCUGAGACCCUUGUGGUGCCCAAUCCAGCCCCAAACACAAGAAUUGUACCUAACAUUCGUACACCGGUGCUGCUGAAAUCCUCCUCUAUGCCUCCUCCAAUCCCUGCAAUGAUCAAAUAUAGGAAUCGAAGUACCCUGUUUCAACCUCGGUCAUUAAUGUCCACUUCUGAUCAGCCUCAAUGUCCAGAACUCCCACCCUCUCUGAAGGUCUUCUCACCUCAGUACCUCACCUCAGCCUUACUUGAGGUUAAGAGAAAUUACGAGUAUAUUUUCAGUAAGAGAAAGAAUGUUGAUAUUAAGCCUAUUGUGAAGGAGGAACCAGCUGAGCCAGUGAUGAUUUCUAAAAACGAGGAAACUGUCAAACAAGACAAAAAUGAGAGAAUUGCGUAUGACCUUGAGAUUGUUCUCUGAUCAAAGCAGGUGCAAAAUGAGUGUCUUUUUAAAACGCUAAGUCACUGUACUUCUGACUGACCUGUUUGCCUUAACUGAAAUGAUUCACAUUUCACUGCUGCUUACAGAAGGACUGGUUCUUUGUAUCAAAAAGUUAAUAAGCCAAUCCUGCAAACUCACCAGUGUGUUUGGUAGAUUUACUACUGAAAUAUUAUCUUUGUUAGGGAUGAUCGUUCUGUUGCACAAUGCCUUUCCCACCUUUAUAUGUAACAAUUAUGUUUUUUUGUUUUGUUUUUUAGUCUUCCUGUAAUGCACAUGCAUGUAUAUACUUCAAAUUAGGUCUGUGUAGUCAGUUUCAAAUUGAAAUCCCAAUGUGAAAAAUGCAGUUAUAACAUCACAAGUUUAAGAUAUACAUUAUGCGUAAACAUAGGAUAUAAAUUGUGCAGGGUUUGAACUGCCCUGGCAAUGGUUUUACAAAUUCAUGCUGUCAUCCUCGUAUCAACAGAUACAGUAAACACUGUAGUGUUUCCGUGGAGAAAUUUGAAAGGUAGUCACACUCUUUAUGAUAUCUCGUGAUGUUGCUCCAUCACAUUUUAAGUUUAUUAGAGUGAAUACUGAAUAGAAUCAUAAUUUAAAUUGCAUGAUCUGUCAGAAAAAUGACUUUUAGAUAUUUUUCCCACAUUAUUCAGCCCUACUGCAAGUAAUAGAGUCACAUUUCUCCCAGUUAGGCCAGUUUUAGUUCAGCACACUGAUAUAUUUUAUGCAAAUGUCUCGAAUUCUGCUCUUUAGUAUUUAGGAAGAGUUCUAUGAUUGAGCUUUUUCACAUUUUUCUUUGUCACUACUGUUUGAUAAGUUUUACUAUUUGAAUGAAUGUGACUGAAUGUAACUGACCUGGAUUGUAAAACUGCACCAGGUGGCAUUUAGGCUGCAGGCUAUAUCCUGUACUUGGCGGUUUUGUGGUCUAAUUGUCACUUUAGUCUGUGAGCAAAUGCACUGAAACAGGAACGAGCGUUCUCUAGCAUCAUAUGUGAUAAAAAUUGCCAGUGAAUACGCUACAUUUUCCAGUCUACGUCAGCUAACUGGAGACAAAGACAAUGUCUUCAUUUUUUCUUUGUUUUUUACUAUAUAAAUGUACUGUAUUUGUGCUGAAUGUCUGCUCAUAUAUAUACACACAUAAAGCAGUUCCAGUACUUGGUGUGCAGACUCUAUGAAGCAAGACCACAAGAUCACCGUCUUUGACAUGUUAAGUUUUUAAAAAUGAUUGUUAACAGAUCAGUUUGAUCAGAUUUUUUAAUCCACUUUAUAUGAGUUUCAGUCACUACAGCCUUAUGUGUGACAGUUUUAUUAAAUUGUAUCCAGAAUGUUGUCUUUGUCUCAUGGCCACUGUCAUAACAUUUGUGCUUUCAGUUACACUACAAGAGAUUAAAGCUAUUCCUUUAAAAUACACAAAUUGUAAAUGACAUGUUGUUGGCUGUGCCCAAUCUACUGACUAUAUCAAUUAAAACAGAUGCAUUGGAAUUGAGUAGACAUUAAACUGACUGACAACAAAGUCUUUGCAUUUUUAUUGCUGUGACGGUGCAUCCAUACAACACUGUGUGUUUGUUUGACUUUCAGUUGGACACACAAAGAGAGUUGAAAUAAUAGGCUGUACAAUAAGUCUUACAUAUGUUCUGUAUAUUGCAGUUGCUGAAAUAAAAAAGCUGAUACUAUAUUUGUUAGACUUUUCUUGACCUACGGGAUUCAUGGUGUAAAUAAUUUUGUGACCAAACCGUGAAAGAUUUGCAGGCCUGAAAGUGUCUUCGGCUUUAUCCUGAUGGUAACACGAAAGGGAUUGUGAAAUUGACCCAAAAAUGUCUGCCUACUUUCCUUGGACUGCCCUCUUAUCAGUGUGUCAUAUUAAAUUAAAAUCGCCUGCUUCCUCUGUGAGCUGCCAUA
Molecule: long non-coding RNA, 3750 nt
Organism: Amphiprion ocellaris (clown anemonefish)
Lineage: Eukaryota; Metazoa; Chordata; Actinopteri; Pomacentridae
Source: Ensembl